AUGAAUGCAUGAAUGCAUUAUAAAAAAUAAAAAAUGACUGUUGUCCUGUGUUCCUCUUGUCCUCCCCCAGCUCUCCGCUCUGCAGCAGACCCGAGGGCAGCUCCUGAAGGUCUCGGAUCAGAUCUCCAGCAGUCUGCGCAGCUCCCAGGAGCAGCUGACCCAGCGUCUGCAGCUGACCAGAGAACAGCUGGACCAAUCCAAAGCUGAAGCUGCUAAACUCAGAGCCCAACUUUCAUCCACUGAGCAGCUCCUGCAGGACGCUAACGAGACCCUGCUCAUUAAGGAGUCUGAGAUCACACGCCUCCAAGCCAAGAUCUCCAGCUUAGAAAGAGCCACCGAUCUCCACAACGCCACCCUCCACCACGAGUCCAGCUCCUUUCCCUCCAUCUCUUCCUCUUUCAAAGAGCUCCAGCCGUACUCCACCUCCCACAAGCACCACCACGACCACCUCAGCAGCCGCUCCAGCCUCUGCUCCUCCACCUCCUGGAGGAACGCCUCCUCAGACUCCUCCCUGGAGCUCUCGGAGAGCGUGAAGGCCGGCGUACAGGCGGCGCUCAGGUGCCCCAGUUCUGUAGCUGCAGACUGGCAGGGCCUGAGUAACCCUGACCUCAGCGCUACUUCAGAUACCACCUUUAACCCCCUCACCUACAUGCUGGACGGAGGAGAGGCGGAGGAACCGGAUAUGGAGACGCUCUCCGGCAUGUUGAAGUUCGUUAACCAGACGCUCGCCCUGCAGGAGCAGCACUCGCUCAGCAGCUCACACUUACAGGACCAUAAUCAAGACGGAUGCCGUUUUAAAGAAGACGUAUCUUGACGAGCUAAUUUCGAAAGAUUUGAAGACUACAGAGUGAACUGUGGACUGUGAUUGGUCAACAUGUACAUAUAGUCCUGAUAGA
RNAcentral lists this long non-coding RNA (896 nucleotides) under Astyanax mexicanus (Mexican tetra). Its description in RNAcentral is "lncRNA (ENSAMXG00005020546.1)". The record is from RNAcentral. Lineage: Eukaryota; Metazoa; Chordata; Actinopteri; Characiformes; Acestrorhamphidae.